GAGAAGCUGCUGAUACAGACAACCACAAGACUUUAACGACUCAGAAACUCUAAAAUAUUAAUAAUACAAAGGAAAAUUCCCUUUGACUUAAGCUGUGGCCCAUGCUUCUAAUGCUACGGCUUUUCGGAGCAGAAGACCUGGACCAAGCAGAGAGACAAUCUUUGGGAUGGGAGCUUUGGGACGGGAGGAGCUAAGGUGGUGCUCAGUGGCUGCUGUGUGUGCCUAUUACCCCAGAAGCUCACCACAGGCACAUGCCAGGACCGCAUGGCUGCGCUCAGCAAAGAAAUGAUGCCGGAGCAGCGCCCUUGCCUCCACUUCUUCCCCAUUUCCUCCACUUCAGGACAAUGUUCUAAUUUGUCCAUUCUAAAAAGUGUAAUCUUGAUGCUUUUGGGAAUCGACGAUGGCACCUAUGGGUAAACAUAGAACAGACAACCCCACAACACAAAACCAUGACAAGAGCUGACCGCAUGCAUCCUGGGUGUAAGCUUCUUGCUGGAGUUUCAAAGGAUGUGUCUUUCUAUUCUCAGAACUUAAAGAAUUGGACUUUCUGGACUAAAAGAACCACAGAAGAAAAAAUAACUGAAACCUGGACCCUGCCAAGACACUGCCACCUGUCUUUUCCAUCAUUGCAAAGAUUCCUUGGCCUCACCUCCCACUUUCAGGCCCCUGGGAAGCUUAGGAGGUUAAGAAAUAGGUCCCCCAUGUUAUCUUUGAAUGUAGACACAGCAGGCUUUAGGGUUGCAAUAGCAAGAGACAUGGUUGCUUGUAGGUCGUUAUAACAAAUGCCCCCUGGUCCUCUCAGUUUCUCAUCCUGCUUCCCUAGAUCCUAGACCACGCUUCCUGGGUCUCUGCGGAGUCCCAGGUAAACCCCACUGCCAGGGAAGGGAGCCAGGUCUAGUGAGAGGCUGGAGCAGUGAGUGUUUCAGAAAAUCAAGCAGUGGAGUGGGUGAGAGCCAGCAGGGGAGGAUCUACUUGGCACCUGCGCCAGGCCCCUUGGCAUUCUCCUCACGUUUCCAGCCCCUGGGAGGAUUGAUGCAUCUGCCUUUGAGCUGUUGUGAAAACGCAGGGGCUGAGAAAUCACUUUUGUGGGCUGGGGUAGGGGGAAGGGCUGAGGCUUCUCUGGGAGAUGUCCAAUGAGGAGGGUCCAGUGCUGCAGGCUUGGCAUCUUAACGAGGCCUGAGCCCUGACUGAAGAGAAGGAAGGAAACAUCUAGGCUGGGGCCAGCUCCCUCUGCUUCAGCACUGGGGAAUCACUGCCUUCCUGGCUGCUGCCACAGACCACAGUGGGGCUGACCUCUGGGCCUCCCUGUCACAUGAAACAUGGAAGCCAACAGCCUGGCCCCACAGAGCUCCUCUGCUGGGGAGGAGAGGAUGUACUCCUCCCAGGCCACUGGGCCCCUCCACCUUGCCCCAAGCACAGAGCUACCUAAUGGACUGACCUUUGCCAAACUGGAACUCACCUCCUGGGGGCCUCUGGCCUACCCUUUUCGCUGCCAGCUGAAAAGACUGCCAGCAGCCUGGACGUCCUGGUUAGCUGAAAUCAGCUGAAACGUGGGCCUCCCUAUGUGGGGUUUAGGACUGAAUUGUGUGUUUGUGGUUUUGCUUCUUUUUGUAGACCCACAGAUAUUUUUAUUUGAAUAGUAAAGAGCUGUGC
Molecule: long non-coding RNA, 1653 nt
Organism: Macaca fascicularis (crab-eating macaque)
Lineage: Eukaryota; Metazoa; Chordata; Mammalia; Primates; Cercopithecidae
Source: Ensembl